This 56-nucleotide transfer RNA is filed under the name Camelus bactrianus (Bactrian camel). It matches the Rfam family "tRNA", at positions 8 to 63 of the family's 71-position model. Rfam says of the family: Transfer RNA (tRNA) molecules are approximately 80 nucleotides in length. Their secondary structure includes four short double-helical elements and three loops (D, anti-codon, and T loops). RNAcentral also lists the same sequence under 2 other names. The record is from Rfam by way of RNAcentral. Lineage: Eukaryota; Metazoa; Chordata; Mammalia; Artiodactyla; Camelidae.
UAACUUAGUGGUAGAGUGCAAGCUUAGCAUGCAUGAGGUCCUGGGUUCAAUCCCAG